This 112-nucleotide ribosomal RNA is filed under the name Cellulomonas flavigena. RNAcentral describes it as "23S ribosomal RNA". Lineage: Bacteria; Bacillati; Actinomycetota; Actinomycetes; Micrococcales; Cellulomonadaceae. The record is from RNAcentral.
CGCCCAUACCGAAUCUGGUGAUGCUAACCGUCCGAGCCUGCUCCAUCGUCCUUCGGGACACCGGGGCAGGGGAGCGCGGGACCCGAGCUGGUAGUAGGUAAGCGUAUUAACA